Long non-coding RNA from Rosa chinensis, 956 nucleotides. RefSeq lists it as uncharacterized. The transcript is spliced from 6 exons. The record is from RefSeq and is a predicted model, not a curated record. NCBI's taxonomy places the organism in Eukaryota, Viridiplantae, Streptophyta, Magnoliopsida, Rosales, Rosaceae.
CUUUUCUUCUCUUGACCUAAUCAUUUCAGUCUCUCUCUUUCUUCUCUGGCCUCUCGGCCUCUCUUUCUUCUCUUCGAUAAUCUUCUCAGUUUUCUCUUCGUCAUCGAGAAUUCGAGAUCAUCAAGGAGAUUUCCAAGGACUGGAAGGAUCAUCAGUCCUCUUAGUUUUCUCUUCGUCUCUGGUCUCCGCCGCCACUUCGGUCAUCUAGGCCCUCAAAGAGCUAGAUCGCGACCGCAAGGUGUAGAACAUCAAGCACAACGGCAAGUUGACAAUGAGGACCUGAGCGGGACUGUCGCUUUACCCCCACCUUUAUUCUUCUUCAUAUUCUGCAGAUCCAGAGCCUUUCUCUCAAAUCCAGCCAUAUUGCUGAAGACAUCAAGCAGCCCCGGUUUCUGGAACUAUUUGUAACUGUUGUUUUGAAGCUGUGAGUGAGCUACAGAAUUUGCUUUUGAUUUCAGAGUUUCUCUGGCCAGCUCUGCUUCUACCUGUUGCCUGUAACAAGAUUUACAGUCAGCUAGAUAGAUCAAAAAUGCCACUUGAGCUUAGUGCUCUCUCAAUUGAGCGUGAACCAGUUGAUGAUCCUGAAAUUCGUGCUGAAGUCCUGGAGGCAAUAUACAUGAUCACAUUACAGGUGAAAAAUGAUGCAAGCACUAAUGGUUUUCGUUUUUGUUACUGGCCUUGCUAAUUCUAUUUAUAGAUUAUGGUUCAGCAGCAAUGGGACAGAACCCAACCGAGGCUGAGCUCUAAGAUAUGAUCAAUGAAGUGGACUGUUAAUGGAUUUUUAACUUUCAAGCAUUCUAUUUGAUUAAUUGUAAUCUAUAUAUGUUGGUCCUUGUAGAUAAUCAUUUUUGCUAGAUUUUGGAUCUAGGUUUUGCUGGCUGUUGUUGGUUUGUGUUGAAUUACUACUAGUUAUAAGUUAUGCCUUAACAGUCUGCAAUUGUUGUGUAAAAAAAAAA